GUGGGGAAUUUUGGACAAUGGGCGCAAGCCUGAUCCAGCCAUGCCGCGUGUGUGAAGAAGGUCUUCGGAUUGUAAAGCACUUUAAGUUGGGAGGAAGGGCAGUAAGUUAAUACCUUGCUGUUUUGACGUUACCAACAGAAUAAGCACCGGCUAACUUCGUGCCAGCAGCCGCGGUAAUACGAAGGGUGCAAGCGUUAAUCGGAAUUACUGGGCGUAAAGCGCGCGUAGGUGGUUUUGUAAGUUGGAGGUGAAAUCCCCGGGCUCAACCUGGGAACUGCCUCCAAAACUGCAUGACUAGAGUACGGUAGAGGGUAGUGGAAUUUCCUGUGUAGCGGUGAAAUGCGUAGAUAUAGGAAGGAACACCAGUGGCGAAGGCGACUACCUGGACUGAUACUGACACUGAGGUGCGAAAGCGUGGGGAGCAAACAGGAUUAGAAACCCUUGUAGUCC
RNAcentral lists this ribosomal RNA (450 nucleotides) under uncultured bacterium. RNAcentral describes it as "partial 16S ribosomal RNA". It matches the Rfam family "Bacterial small subunit ribosomal RNA", at positions 354 to 796 of the family's 1533-position model. The record is from RNAcentral.